UACGUAGGUGGCAAGCGUUGUCCGGAAUUAUUGGGCGUAAAGCGCGCGCAGGCGGUUUCUUAAGUCUGAUGUGAAAUCCCACGGCUCAACCGUGGAGGGUCAUUGGAAACUGGGGGACUUGAGUGCAGAAGAGGAGAGUGGAAUUCCACGUGUAGCGGUGAAAUGCGUAGAGAUGUGGAGGAACACCAGUGGCGAAGGCGGCUCUCUGGUCUGUAACUGACGCUGAGGCGCGAAAGCGUGGGGAGCAAACAGG
This 253-nucleotide ribosomal RNA is filed under the name uncultured bacterium. Its description in RNAcentral is "partial 16S ribosomal RNA". It matches the Rfam family "Bacterial small subunit ribosomal RNA", at positions 524 to 776 of the family's 1533-position model. The record is from RNAcentral.